RNAcentral lists this long non-coding RNA (651 nucleotides) under Elaeis guineensis (African oil palm). Its description in RNAcentral is "long non-coding RNA (EGUI_LNC040487)". The record is from RNAcentral. Lineage: Eukaryota; Viridiplantae; Streptophyta; Magnoliopsida; Arecales; Arecaceae.
CUCGCCAUAAAACUCUAGUAGGUGAGUGAUCAUAGCCCUGACAGUGGGCAUAUGCUCAUACUAGCUCUGCAACUCAUUUGACAUAGAUGCCAAUACAUAGCACUUACCCGACUGUCUUCGUCUGUCCAUUUUUUAUAAGUUAUUCUUUGCAUAGCAGUAGGAUGGUUUGGUAACAUUAGGGGUUUCUGAUCGAGUACAUGAUCUAAUUUUUUAGAAGUCAAGACAAUCCUAAGAUUUCUUAACCAGUCUUUGUAGUUUGUUUCGAUCAAAUGAUUGGAUUAAAGGAUGCAGGCUAGAAGGUUUGAAGCUGACAUUAUUUAACUGCAAGAGUAAAGAUUCAAGUUAGACUUUUAUAUUUUAAAUUUAUAUUUACUCUAGAGAUUUUAAGAUGCAAACAAUGACUUUCACUAAUUUGUCAGAUCCCUCCACUCUUCGAUGGGAAACGAAAACCCCAAUGCGACAACCAAAUGCAUGGACACCAAUAUCAUGUACCUCACCUAACAGUUAUUGAUAACAUACACACCGAUGCAUGGACAACUCUUUUUCUAGAAACUUCUCUAAGAAUGUUGUAGCGACUUGAUCUCUAAAUUAUGUGGGCUCACCUAAUAGUUAUUGACCACACUCUUUAGUUAAGUCUGACCCACCAUUCAC